UAGCAGCAAAAGGUACAUUUUAUACCCCCACUUUUCCAGUGAACGUCGUUUCGGCAAGUGAACAUUCUAACAACUUUUUCGUGUGAGUAUUAAUUAAUCCGGAAAUGGAGCCCAGCUACAGGGAAAAGCGGGAGUGGCUUAACAACCGCAGCAAUGGUACUUCCAACUAUGGAGCCCAUCGGGUCACUAGCGGCUACUCCGGCCAAUUGGGGCAGCCCCCCCAAACGGGUCGCAGUCUGGGUGGGUGGGCCCCUUGGUCGGGGCCAAACACAACCACAAACUCCACGCCUUACAACUCUUCUACUGAUUACCGAAAUCCUGCUGCCCCGCAGGCCAACUCUCUUUGGAGCCGCGAAAGAGCCGGGUACCACCGGAAUCAAGAACAAGUCCAAGCGAGACCCACUAACAAUAACAGCAUGAACAACCGAUCGUGGUCGGCCAGUCGCGGACCUGCUGCUCCUCCUCCCCCUUCCAUCGGGGGGGACCAGUGGCAGGAUCGUGGACAGGCACAGGGACAGGGGCAUGGUCCAAAUCCAAUUCCAUGUCCAAGUCCCAAAAUGCAGUCCAUAAUGAUACAAGCGGAAGAAAAGAAUGUACCGAAUCACAUUCGAGAUCAGCUCUUCGGACUUAGCGGCGCUAAACGCAAGUGGUUCUAUCGCUACCUCGAAAUGGGCUGCAGUCAUGAGGAUGCCCUAUCCAAGUCCUUGGAUAGACUGACCAAUCCGGUUGGCUUCAAGGGUGGCGCACUCAAGUGGUACGAGAAUUACAUUGCCAGCGGUUGCACCGAGAAGGAGGCUUGUGCCAAGAUGCUGGAGUACAAGCGGAAUCAUCCACUCAGUCGCGACCGCAAGGUUCCGGAGCAGACAGCUGUUCCGGAUGAUCGCGGUCGCAAGCGUCCGAUCGAUGACAACUCCCAUGGCGGCAGGGCCAAGGAGGAGCUCAAGAAGCAGCGAAGGGCUGCAGAGUUGCCUCCGAAGCGAAGCUUUGUCAUGGCCGUCAUGUCGGAUAAGUAUCCCACAUGCGUACUGAGCAAGAAGCAACUGUCUAGGAUCGAGGCCGCCCUCGUGGAGGAAAUGCGAAAAGGUUGGAAGACCAGUAUCAACUUUGGAGGCAUCCAAUUUCUCCCGGGGCUGAUUCUGGUUACCUGCAUUGACAGGAACUCUAAGAAGUGGCUGGAGCAUGUGGUGCCGAAUAUCACCGUCAUACAGGGGAUCAAACUAACCUCCUGUCCGGAGUACGAGAUUCCCUCCACCAAGGGGAUAACUGUCUUGGUACCGCGCUCCGCCGACGAGCCCGAUAAAAUAACAACUGAACUUCUGAUCGAUCAGAAUGCAGACCUCCUGUCGAAAACUUGGCAAGUUGUCCGCACUACCAUGACCAAGGAGGGCAACAAGCUGAUGACGAUCACCCUAAGUGACAAGUCCUUGGAGCUGCUGAAGAUAAAGGGCAUGACAGUUAGCUAUCGUUUUAGCCAGCUUUCGUGUCGCCUAAUGAGCGGCAAGGAUGCUCUUAAGUCGGUUCGCGUCAACUACACGGAGCCCCGUCCACUACCACCAAAGAAAGAUGCCCAGUCCGCCGAAAUCGACCUCACUGAGGAGGAUAGUGAAGAAUAUAUUUCUCAGCUUAACCUGGUUGUUGUGGACGAGGUCAAGGGAGAUGAUGACGAGAACGAAGCGGCUGAAGAUGAAGAACUAACUGACGGGGAACACAAUGCCCUGGAGAUUGUUGAAGAAGAGCACGACGAUGGUGAGAUUGCUGAGGAGGAGCACGUGGAGGAGGAGGCUGCUGAAGGGGAGUACGUCGAGGAGGAGGCUGCUGAAGGGGAGCCUGAGGAAUCAUACGAAGUUGAGGAGAGUGUCGGAGACGAGCAUGACCAGGAGGAAGAAACUGAGCAUGCUGAUGAGGAAGAGAAUCAGCAUGCUGAUGAGGAAGUGGUUGAGACUGGGACAACCACCAGAGAAUAAGCAUCUCCUUGUAAGUAUGCACCAUUGAAGGAAAGCCAAUGCUUAAUGGCGAUCUCAAGAAACACUUGAUGCACUGCAACAUUUAAAACUAAACCAUUACUUCAUUCGCAACACGCCCUAGACAUUAGAAUUAACCACAAAGAAGCUCGGACAUGGAUACACAUGGUUUAGUAACCAACGAACAUAAGUUUUAAUCAAAUUAAAAACCUCUUGCGGCAGUAUCUGGAAAUAUUGCACAUCCUUCCACAUUUUGACAUCAUAUUAUACAUACCAAAUCUGUAUUAUGAUUUUCAUUAAAAACGGUUGGUUUUGGACUAAAACAUGUGCCAAAAACAUCAGUAAA
Molecule: RNA transcript, 2307 nt
Organism: Drosophila suzukii
Lineage: Eukaryota; Metazoa; Arthropoda; Insecta; Diptera; Drosophilidae
Source: RefSeq, a predicted model, not a curated record